AUUUGUGGGAGCACUUUUGAUAGUAUGUUGUGAAUCUUUUCAUCUGAGUCAGUCCUCUGCCUUUUGCCUUAAAGUGCAUUGGAUACUUUCACUUUUUCUUCUCUUGUCACCCUCAGCUGCACAAAAUCGAGUUAAUCAUCUCCCUCACUUUAUUGCACACUAUAGUCACCGAUCGGGGGCCAGCCCCAUGGUGGGGUGGUUAAGUUCCAGCACUCCGCUGCCGCAGCCCAGGGUUUCACCAGUUCGGAUCCUGGGCGUGGACAUGGUACCGCUCCUCAGGCCACGUUGAGGAGGCAUCCCACAUGCCACAACUGGAAGGACCUGCAACUAAGAUAUACAACUAUGUACUGGGGGGAUUUGGGGGAGAUAAAGCAGAAAAAAAAAAAAAGAUUGGCAACAGUUGGUAGCUCAGAU
Molecule: long non-coding RNA, 414 nt
Filed under: Equus caballus (horse)
Lineage: Eukaryota; Metazoa; Chordata; Mammalia; Perissodactyla; Equidae
Description: lncRNA (ENSECAG00000058843.1)
Source: RNAcentral